RNAcentral lists this ribosomal RNA (250 nucleotides) under uncultured bacterium. RNAcentral's name for it is "partial 16S ribosomal RNA". It matches the Rfam family "Bacterial small subunit ribosomal RNA", at positions 524 to 773 of the family's 1533-position model. The record is from RNAcentral.
GACGGAGGGUGCAAGCGUUGUUCGGAUUGACUGGGCGUAAAGGGCGUGUAGGCGGUUGGUCAAGUCUGAUGUGAAAGCCCGGGGCUCAGCUUCGGAAGUGCAUCGGAAACUAGCCGGCUGGAGCGCGAUAGAGGAGGGCGGAAUUCCUGGUGUAGCGGUGAAAUGCGUAGAUAUCAGGAGGAACACCGGCGGCGAAGGCGGCCCUCUGGAUCGUUGCUGACGCUGAGACGCGAAAGCGUGGGGAGCAAAC